CAGUCGCCGCGGUAAUACAGAGGAUGGAAGCGUUAUCCGGAAUGAUUGGGCGUAAAGCGUCUGUAGGUGGCUUUUCAAGUCCGCCGUCAAAUCCCAGGGCUCAACCCUGGACAGGCGGUGGAAACUACUAAGCUGGAGUACGGUAGGGGCAGAGGGAAUUUCCAGUGGAGCGGUGAAAUGCGUUGAGAUCAGAAAGAACACCAACGGUGAAAGCACUCUGCUGGGCCGACACUGACACUGAGAGACGAAAGUUAGGGGAGAAAAUGGGAUUAGAGACCCCCGUAGUCCCUGUCUCUUAUAC
This 301-nucleotide ribosomal RNA is filed under the name uncultured bacterium. RNAcentral's name for it is "partial 16S ribosomal RNA". It matches the Rfam family "Bacterial small subunit ribosomal RNA", at positions 509 to 808 of the family's 1533-position model. The record is from RNAcentral.